AGUGAACGCUGGCGGUAGGCCUAACACAUGCAAGUCGAACGGCAGCACAGUAAGAGCUUGCUCUUACGGGUGGCGAGUGGCGGACGGGUGAGGAAUACAUCGGAAUCUACUUUUUCGUGGGGGAUAACGUAGGGAAACUUACGCUAAUACCGCAUACGACCUACGGGUGAAAUCAGGGGAUCUUCGGACCUUGCGCGAUUGAACGAGCCGAUGUCGGAUUAGCUAGUUGGCGGGGUAAAGGCCCACCAAGGCGACGAUCCGUAGCUGGUCUGAGAGGAUGAUCAGCCACACUGAAACUGAGACACGGUCCAGACUCCUACGGGAGGCAGCAGUGGGGAAUAUUGGACAAUGGGCGCAAGCCUGAUCCAGCCAUACCGCGUGGGUGAAGAAGGCCUUCGGGUUGUAAAGCCCUUUUGUUGGGAAAGAAAAGCAGCAGGUUAAUACCCCGCUGUUCUGACGGUACCCAAAGAAUAAGCACCGGCUAACUUCGUG
RNAcentral lists this ribosomal RNA (492 nucleotides) under uncultured bacterium. RNAcentral describes it as "partial 16S ribosomal RNA". It matches the Rfam family "Bacterial small subunit ribosomal RNA", at positions 29 to 507 of the family's 1533-position model. The record is from RNAcentral.